This 499-nucleotide ribosomal RNA is filed under the name uncultured bacterium. Its description in RNAcentral is "partial 16S ribosomal RNA". It matches the Rfam family "Bacterial small subunit ribosomal RNA", at positions 28 to 507 of the family's 1533-position model. The record is from RNAcentral.
GACGAACGCUGGCGGCGUGCCUAAUACAUGCAAGUCGAGCGGACCAAACAGGAGCUUGCUCUUGUUUGGUUAGCGGCGGACGGGUGAGUAACACGUGGGUAACCUGCCCGUAAGACCGGGAUAACUCCGGGAAACCGGAGCUAAUACCGGAUAACACCGAAGACCGCAUGGUCUUUGGUUGAAAGGCGGCUUCGGCUGCCACUUACGGAUGGGCCCGCGGCGCAUUAGCUAGUUGGUGAGGUAACGGCUCACCAAGGCGACGAUGCGUAGCCGGCCUGAGAGGGUGACCGGCCACACUGGGACUGAGACACGGCCCAGACUCCUACGGGAGGCAGCAGUAGGAAAUCUUCCGCAAUGGACGAAAGUCUGACGGAGCGACGCCGCGUGAGCGAAGAAGGUCUUCGGAUCGUAAAGCUCUGUUGUUAGGGAAGAAGAAGCGCCGUUCGAACAGGGCGGCGCGGUGACGGUACCUAACGAGAAAGCCCCGGCUAACUACGUG